This 173-nucleotide unclassified non-coding RNA is filed under the name soil metagenome. RNAcentral's name for it is "partial internal transcribed spacer 1". The record is from RNAcentral.
CAAGAAGCCGAAAGGCUACUUAAAACCAUCGCGAACUUGUCCAAGUUGCUUCGGCGGCGCGGCUCCCCUCACGGGGGACCGCAGCCCCCGCCUCUCAGGAGGUAAGGGGCAGCCGCCGGAGGUACGAAACUCUGUAUUAUAGUGGUAUCUCUGAGUAUAAAACAAAUAAGUUA